Sciurus carolinensis (gray squirrel) is the source of this 103-nucleotide small nuclear RNA. Lineage: Eukaryota; Metazoa; Chordata; Mammalia; Rodentia; Sciuridae. The record is from RefSeq and is a predicted model, not a curated record.
GUGCUCGCUUCAGCGCAUGUAUGCAAAAAUUGGAAUGAUACAGAGAUUAGCAUGACCCCUGAGCAAGGAUGACAUGUAAAUUCAUAAAGCGUUCCAUAUUUUU